This 463-nucleotide ribosomal RNA is filed under the name uncultured bacterium. RNAcentral describes it as "bacterial SSU rRNA". It matches the Rfam family "Bacterial small subunit ribosomal RNA", at positions 29 to 506 of the family's 1533-position model. The record is from RNAcentral.
ACGAACGCUGGCGGCGUGCUUAACACAUGCAAGUCGAGCGGUAAGGCCACUUCGGUGGUACACGAGCGGCGAACGGGUGAGUAACACGUGAGCAACCUGCCCUUCUCUUUGGAAUAAGCGUUGGAAACGACGUCUAAUGCCGAAUAUGACCUUCUUUCGCAUGAUUGAAGGUGGAAAGCUCCGGCGGAGAAGGAUGGGCUCGCGGCCUAUCAGCUAGUUGGUGUGGGUAAUGGCCCACCAAGGCGACGACGGGUAGCCGGCCUGAGAGGGUGACCGGCCACACUGGGACUGAGACACGGCCCAGACUCCUACGGGAGGCAGCAGUGGGGAAUAUUGGACAAUGGGCGAAAGCCUGAUCCAGCAACGCCGCGUGAGGGAUGACGGCCUUCGGGUUGUAAACCUCUUUCAGCGGGGACGAAGCGAAAGUGACGGUACCCGCAGAAGAAGGACCGGCCAACUACGU